RNAcentral lists this ribosomal RNA (484 nucleotides) under uncultured bacterium. RNAcentral describes it as "partial 16S ribosomal RNA". It matches the Rfam family "Bacterial small subunit ribosomal RNA", at positions 30 to 507 of the family's 1533-position model. The record is from RNAcentral.
AUUGAACGCUGGCGGCAGGCCUAACACAUGCAGGUCGAGCGGAUGAAGGGAGCUUGCUCCUGGAUUCAGCGGCGGACGGGUGAGUAAUGCCUAGGAAUCUGCCUGGUAGUGGGGGAUAACGUCCGGAAACGGGCGCUAAUACCGCAUACGUCCUGAGGGAGAAAGUGGGGGAUCUUCGGACCUCACGCUAUCAGAUGAGCCUAGGUCGGAUUAGCUAGUUGGUGGGGUAAAGGCCUACCAAGGCGACGAUCCGUAACUGGUCUGAGAGGAUGAUCAGUCACACUGGAACUGAGACACGGCCCAGACUCCUACGGGAGGCAGCAGUGGGGAAUAUUGGACAAUGGGCGAAAGCCUGAUCCAGCCAUGCCGCGUGUGUGAAGAAGGUCUUCGGAUUGUAAAGCACUUUAAGUUGGGAGGAAGGGCAGUAAGUUAAUACCUUGCUGUUUUGACGUUACCAACAGAAUAAGCACCGGCUAACUUCGUG